UGAUUAAACAACUUUUUUUUAUUAACAACGCUUAUACAUUUUAUUACCAAACAGGUAAACUACUUUUAUAAAACAACAAUUUUAAAACAGCAACAGCAGAAUAUAAUAGUAAUACCAAACAGACCCUAAGUAGAGUGACAUCCUCGAGGGGUCUUUAUAGGGAAGUUGAGAACUAACAUAGGCAAUUCACAAGAUCAUUCACAGACCAUCGCCCAAUUUACUGGUAGAGAAUGAUUAAAUCUUCCUAGGCUCAACAAACACAGAUGUUGUCAUUGGAGGCACGGUGAAGCAUCCUGAUGAUGCUUCGUAUGUAGAUUUCUUCACGACUUCGUCACUUGACAUAGCCUGAACAGGAUGUAGCUGAAAAUAUCUUGGCCGCAGUGCAGGGCUGGCAAAUGAUACCUUAGUUGGACAAGUGUUGAAUAUAACCACAAUGUACGAGUAGAUGGGAUCCAGUUGAGAUAACCCAGGUAAACCUUCAUGACCAUCUUCAAUGCUCAUCACUAUGACACCAGGGACCCAUGAAGGCCCGGUAUUAUGAAACCGUACCCGUUCCUGGAUAGCAUUAGCCGUUGUCAAACGGAAAAGUGGAGAAGAAUAUCGAAUUUGUAAUACAUCUAAAAAAUUCUCAACAGCAGCAAGGAUGUGAUGUUUUUGAGGCUUGAAGGAUUCAUCUGCUAAUCUUGGUUUUAUUAAUGGCCAGUGCCUUUCAUUUUUCUCCUUUGGUGGGAGGCCAACACCCCAAUUGCUAGAAUUGUAAGAGAAGUCUAGCCUGGAAAGGUACUAGUAAGCAUUAAUCUAUGAGAAAACCAAGGCCUGUUCAAGUGAAACUCUACCCACAACCAUAGUAAGCAUUAGGAUUGGAAAUUAUUAAUCUAAAAUAUUAUCUUGUAGCAAUAUGAACAGCAGAAAUUUGAUAAUUGUUACAGCCAAUCAAAGUUACCAUUCAUUCAAAAACUUCGAAUCAAAUUAAUAAAUUACAAAAGCAACUUGGAAUAAGAACAAUAGGAGACCUGUUGAACCAAUCUCCAGAGUUGUAUGAAUCACGAUCAAGUGAUUUUGAACGUAGCAUCUCAUCACCAGCAUGAAAAAAAGGUAUUCCCUGUGACAUUGCUAUUAUACUUGUUGCCAAAUGAUUUAAUCUGCAUCUCUCAUCAACAGAAAUUUUCAUCGGAGUCUUCAUGCACACAAUAUCAAACAAAGUUUCAUUGUCAUGAGCAGAAACAUAAUUAAUUGUUUCUAUAGGGCAUAAAGCAUAUGCAACAGGUGCUCCACCAUUCAUCAAAAUUUCUGAUCCUUUCACCUCUUUCCCUUCACUAUUGACUAGAACAAAAUCCCUCAAAUUUGCAGCCAUCCCAGCCUGGAUGUGAUCCUUUGCUAUUGUAAGCAUGAGUUCUUCAACGGCUUUUCCUCCAUGGUCAUGACCAUUAGGCUGCAACAUUAGACCAGUCACAAAUCCUUGCUGAAGAGGAUGGCCAAAAGGGGAUCCACCAAGCAUUGCAUCACGUAUUCGAUCAUUAAAACUCCCAAUUCCAGUUCCACCAAGAUUGAACUGCGAAGCAUUUAUUCCACGACCAUUUUUAGCAACUUCACCAAAGUCCCAACCUUCACCAUAUAUAUAGAUACUUGAACCAUCAACUCCAUUUCUUUCAUUUGUUAGGCUGAGUAGCGCAUCUUUUGCUUUCAUCAUUGUACUUUUCAUUAUAUGGCCCAUAAGGUCAAACCGGAAUCCAUCAACCUUGUAGUUAACUGCCCAGCUCAAAAGAUCAUCAAUAAUCAAGCGCUCAACCAUAUAAUGCUCACUGGCAGUGUUAUUCACACAUGUACUAUUUUCAAUAAAUCCGUCAUUGUUCCUUCUCAGAUAAUAACCUGGAACAACCUUAUCAAGAACAGAAUUCUCAUCAAAAGGCCCACUUCCAUGCAAAUGAUUGUAGACAACAUCCAACACAACCCGAAGACCAAUGUGGUUAAGUGCCUGAACCAUCUUUCUGAACUCAAUGGUGCGGCAAGGACCAUUUGGAUUGCUUGCAUAACUUCCUUUAGGGACCCCCCAGAGAACAGGAUUGUACCCCCAAUUAUACCCAUCAUCAUUUUGGAUUGCAGUAAUAUGAGCUUGUUGCUCAACUGAAUCCGGUGGUAAUUUUUCUAGCAUGUUGUUAUCCACAGACUUCCAGUUCUCCCUAACAUCGUCAACGCCAGCAAAUUGAAAGGUUGGCAGCAAAUGGACAUGAGUAAUGCCAGCAUUUGAUAAUUUCUUUAGAUGAAGUACACUUGCCGAAUCCUCCAGAGUGAAGGCCAGAUAACCACCCCGAAGGUCAGGACGCACUGUGUGAUCAUUAGCACUAAAAUCCCUUAUAUGCAACUCAUAAAUACUUAUGUCAGAGAAAGAAUGUAAAGUGGGUUUUUCAUUGGCUAAUAUAUCCCAUCCUUCAGGUUUUAAAGUAUCAGAAUCAAGAUUCACCAAUAAUGUCCUCUUGCCAUCUGAUGAGAGCCCUCUGGCAUAUGGAUCAUUUGCAAAGCAUUUUUCAAUGCGUAAGCUGCAUGGAUGGUAGACAGAUACUUCAUACACAUAAUAACAACCUUCCCAAUCUGUUGGCCCUUUAAUGCUCCAAACUCCAUUAACCUCCACGAGCUGAACAAUUUCCAUAGGAUCGCUGCUGAAUGGAUCCCUAUAAAUGCAAACCUGAACUGCUUGAGCAGUGGGAGCCCAAAGAUGGAGUGAUACAGCAUCUGUGGAAAAAUCUGCACCAAGUGGACCAUCGUAUGAAAACAAAUCAUCCAAAAUACCGGGUAACUGCAGACCAGUAGCAUUGCUACACUUCCCACCACCACAGUUAAAUGCUGCAACUGCUAAUUGGCAUUUGAGAAGAGAUUUGGCAUCAACAGAAGAAGGCACUUUGAAAGCUUUGUAACCCCGAAUAUGAGGAAAUUUCGCAACUACUUUUUCUGAAAGGCCACCUUCAUCUUCCUCAAGCUUAAAUUUCACAUCAUAGCCUUGUAUGCCAGAAUCAGUAACAGACAAUGCAGCAAUCUGACUAGCAUAUAAAAAGCAAGAACCAUCAACUCCAACAUCUACAUUCCAAGCAAUUAUAGAUUUUGUAACCCAGAAGGCCCUCGAGUACAACAAGCUGUCCUGCAACUGAGAAGUGGGAAUGGAAACUUGUUGAAGAGGCAUAGAGGAGGAGGAGGAAGAAGAACAACAGCGAAUUGGGUAUCUAUGAGAAGUAGUAAAACGGAAGGGAAAAGAAAGGUGGUGGCCAUGAUUUUGUCUCAGAUUUAAACGACGUCGUAAAGAAGAUGGUGAAGAAAAAGUGGAAUAGCGAACAUUGGAAAUUGAUGGUGGCGAUUUGAAAACUACCAGAGAGUGAGACAUUGUUAAAGCUCUCUCUGUUCUGCUCUUUGGAAGAGAGACGGGUGAUGUUAUUUACAACGUUCACAGAGCCAAUGAGCUUUGCCUUCGAAUUCGAAUCUCA
This 3473-nucleotide unclassified non-coding RNA is filed under the name Hevea brasiliensis (rubber tree). Lineage: Eukaryota; Viridiplantae; Streptophyta; Magnoliopsida; Malpighiales; Euphorbiaceae. The record is from RNAcentral.